GAUGAACGCUAGCGGCAGGCCUAAUACAUGCAAGUCGGACGGGAUUGAGAAGCUUGCUUUUCAUGAGAGUGGCGCACGGGUGCGUAACACGUAUGUAACCUACCUUAAUCAGGGGGAUAGCCUCUCGAAAGAGAGAUUAGCACCGCAUAAAAUCAAUUUAUGGCAUCAUAGAAUGCACAAAUAUUUAUAGGAUUAAGAUGGGGAUGCGGAAAAUUAGCUAGUUGGUAAGGUAACGGCUUACCACGGCUACGAUGUUUAGGGGAUCUGAAAGGGUGACCCCCCACACUGGUACUGAGACACGGACCAGACUCCUACGGGAGGCAGCAGUAAGGAAUAUUGGUCAAUGGGCGCAAGCCUGAACCAGCCAUGCCGCGUGCAGGAAGACGGCCCGACGGGUUGUAAACUGCUUUUGUACCGGAAUAAACCUUUGUAUGUAUACGAAGCUGAAUGUACGGUAAGAAUAAGGAUCGGCUAACUCCGUGCCAGCAGCCGCAGUAA
RNAcentral lists this ribosomal RNA (498 nucleotides) under uncultured bacterium. RNAcentral's name for it is "partial 16S ribosomal RNA". It matches the Rfam family "Bacterial small subunit ribosomal RNA", at positions 28 to 523 of the family's 1533-position model. The record is from RNAcentral.